AGGAUGAACGCUAGCUGGAGGCUUAAUACAUGCAAGUCGAGCGGGAUUGGUAGCAAUACCAUGAGAGCGGCGCACGGGUGAGUAACGCGUACACGACCUACCUCUGACAGGGGGAUAGCCCUGGGAAACUGGGAUUAAUACCGCAUAUUAUUCUGAUUAAUAAAGGAUUGGAAUGAAAGUUCAGGCGGUCAGAGAUGGGUGUGCGUCUGAUUAGCUAGUUGGUAGGGUAACGGCCUACCAAGGCGAUGAUCAGUAGGGGGCGUGAGAGCGUGGUCCCCCACACGGGUACUGAGACACGGACCCGACUCCUACGGGAGGCAGCAGUAAGGAAUAUUGGACAAUGGCCGAAAGGCUGAUCCAGCCAUCCAGCGUGCAGGAAGAAGGCCCUAUGGGUUGUAAACUGCUUUUAUCAGGGAAUAAACCUCUGGAUUCACUCCGGAGCUGAAGGUACCUGAAGAAUAAGCACCGGCUAACUCCGUG
Molecule: ribosomal RNA, 480 nt
Filed under: uncultured bacterium
Lineage: Bacteria
Description: bacterial SSU rRNA
Rfam family: Bacterial small subunit ribosomal RNA
Source: RNAcentral